UUAAGCAGUAUUGAACUACAGGAUUCCCUAGUACGGCGAGUGAAGUGGGAAAAGCUCAACUUUGAAAUCUGGCACCUUCGGUGUCCGAAUUGUAGUCUCAAGAAGUGUUUUCUGUGCCGGUCCAUGUAUGAGUCUGUUGGAACACAGCGUCAUAGAGGGUGACAACCCCGUUCAUGACAUGGAUACCGGUGCUCUGUGAUACACUCUCGAAGAGUCGAGUUGUUUGGGAAUGCAGCUCAAAUUGGGUGGUAAAUUCCAUCUAAAGCUAAAUAUUGGCGAGAGACCGAUAGCAAACAAGUACCGUGAGGGAAAGAUGAAAAGCACUUUGGAAAGAGAGUUAACAGUACGUGAAAUUGUUGAAAGGGAAACGAUUGAAGUCAGACGUGCGUGAUGCGGUUCAGCCUUGGUUCGCCAGGGUGUAUUCCGUAUCUUUGCAGGCCAACAUCAGUUUCGAUAGUCGGAUAAAGAUUAGUUGAAUGUGGCACCCUCGGGUGUGUUAUAGCUUCUAAUUGAAUACGAUUGUUGGGACUGAGGAACGCAGCGCGCCGCAAGGCAAAGGUUCCGACCUUUUCGCGCUUAGGAUGUUGGUGAAAUGGCUUUAAACGACCCGUCUUGAAACACGGACCAAGGAGUCUAACAUGCUUGCGAGUGUUUGGGUGGCAAACCCAUACGCGUAAUGAAAGUGAAUGGAGGUGGGAUCCUUUACCGGAGCACCAUCGACCGAUCCGGAUUUUUAAUGAAGGGUUUGAGUAAGAGCACGUAUGUUGGGACCCGAAAGAUGGUGAACUAUGCCUGAAUAGGGUGAAGCCAGAGGAAACUCUGGUGGAGGCUCGUAGCGGUUCUGACGUGCAAAUCGAUCGUCAAAUUUGGGUAUAGGGGCGAAGACUAUCGAACCAUCUAGUAGCUGGUCUGCGAGUCCUCCUUCUCGAGGAACGCACUCUGCUCUAGAUCGUUUCGAUAUACUCCUUUCCGCCUGUGCCCAGAUGUGCUAACAAUGUGAUUGGCAGUCUAACGCGCUUCGAGCUUCCGAGUUCCCUGCCUCACUAUCAGCUAGUACCUUCGGUCGACACUGUCU
Molecule: ribosomal RNA, 1075 nt
Filed under: Cystobasidium sp.
Lineage: Eukaryota; Fungi; Basidiomycota; Cystobasidiomycetes; Cystobasidiales; Cystobasidiaceae
Description: LSU rRNA
Rfam family: Eukaryotic large subunit ribosomal RNA
Source: RNAcentral